GACGAACGCUGGCGGCGUGCCUAAUACAUGCAAGUCGAGCGAAUCUCAGGGAGCUUGCUCCCAAAGGUUAGCGGCGGACGGGUGAGUAACACGUGGGCAACCUGCCUAUAAGACUGGGAUAACUUCGGGAAACCGGAGCUAAUACCGGAUAAUACUUUUCUACUCAUGUAGGGAAGCUGAAAGACGGUUUCGGCUGUCACUUAUAGAUGGGCCCGCGGCGCAUUAGCUAGUUGGUGAGGUAACGGCUCACCAAGGCGACGAUGAGUAGCCGACCUGAGAGGGUGAUCGGCCACACUAGGACUGAGACACGGCCCAGACUCCUACGGGAGGCAGCAGUAGGGAAUCUUCCGCAAUGGACGAAAGUCUGACGGAGCAACGCCGCGUGAGUGAUGAAGGUUUUCGGAUCGUAAAACUCUGUUGUUAGGGAAGAACAAGUACCAGAGUAACUGCUGGUACCUUGACGGUACCUAACCAGAAAGCCACGGCUAACUACGUGCCAGCCGCCGCAGUAA
This 512-nucleotide ribosomal RNA is filed under the name uncultured bacterium. RNAcentral's name for it is "partial 16S ribosomal RNA". It matches the Rfam family "Bacterial small subunit ribosomal RNA", at positions 28 to 523 of the family's 1533-position model. The record is from RNAcentral.